RNAcentral lists this ribosomal RNA (441 nucleotides) under uncultured bacterium. Its description in RNAcentral is "bacterial SSU rRNA". It matches the Rfam family "Bacterial small subunit ribosomal RNA", at positions 614 to 1050 of the family's 1533-position model. The record is from RNAcentral.
UGGAGAAUUGCCAUUGAAACUGAAGUUCUUGAGUAUGGAUGAGGUGGUUGGAAUAUAACAUGUAGCGGUGAAAUGCAUAGAUAUGUUAUAGAACACCAAUUGCGAAGGCAGAUCACUAAACCAUUACUGACGCUGAGGUACGAAAGCGGUGGGGAGCGAACAGGAUUAGACUACCCUGGUAGUCCACGACCGUAAACGAUGUUCACUCGCUGUUGGCGAUAUACUGUCAGCGGCCAAGACGAAAGCAUUAAGUGAACCACCGUGGGGAGUACGAUCGCAAGGUUAGAAACUCAAAGGAAUUGGACGGGGGCCCGCACAAGCGGUGGAGCAUGUGGUUUAAUUCGAAGCAACGCGCAGAACCUUACCAACCCUUGACAUCCUGUGCUACAUCCAGAGAUGGAUGGUUCCCUUCGGGGACGCAGUGACAGGUGCUGCAUGGCU